Molecule: transfer RNA, 69 nt
Filed under: Arnoglossus polyspilus (many-spotted lefteye flounder)
Lineage: Eukaryota; Metazoa; Chordata; Actinopteri; Pleuronectiformes; Bothidae
Description: tRNA-Phe
Rfam family: tRNA
About the family: Transfer RNA (tRNA) molecules are approximately 80 nucleotides in length. Their secondary structure includes four short double-helical elements and three loops (D, anti-codon, and T loops).
Source: RNAcentral
GCCCUCGUAGCUUAAGGAAAGCAUGACACUGAAGAUGUUAAGAUGGACUCUUGUAAGGUCUCGAGAGCA